Rhododendron vialii is the source of this 190-nucleotide long non-coding RNA. RefSeq lists it as uncharacterized. Lineage: Eukaryota; Viridiplantae; Streptophyta; Magnoliopsida; Ericales; Ericaceae. The transcript has 2 exons. The record is from RefSeq and is a predicted model, not a curated record.
AAUAAAAAAGAAUACAAGAGACAGUAAGCGUAAAUGGUACCCGUACCUGAUUGCUAGAUAAUUAAGGUCGUAAAAUUCUUCAACAACUAAACAACACUAGCAGGAGUGACUAUUGUUUAAGGCUAUUCAAAAAGAAUAACUCUAAGCCCAGAGUAAAUCCAUUAAGGAUACUCAGAAAAGAGGAAGUUGA